GAUGAACGCUGGCGGCGUGCUUAAUACAUGCAAGUCGAGCGAACGGACGAGAAGCUUGCUUCUCUGAUGUUAGCGGCGGACGGGUGAGUAACACGUGGAUAACCUACCUAUAAGACUGGGAUAAUUUCGGGAAACCGGAGCUAAUACGGGAUAAUAUUUUGAACCGCAGGGUUGAAAAGUGAAAGACGGUCUUGCUGUCAGUUAUAGAUGGAUCUGCGCUGCAUUAGCUAGUUGGUAAGGUAAAGGCUUACCAAGUGAACGAUGCAUAGGCGAGUUGUGAGAAUGAUAGCCCACAUUGGAACGUAGACACGCACCAGACGCCUACGAGACGCAGCAGUAUGGUAUCUUCCGCAAUAGUCGAAAACAUUACGGAGUAACGCCACGCCUGUUAUGAAGAUCUUCGGAUCAUAAAACUCUCUUAUUAGGUAAAAACAUCUGUGUAAGUAACUGUACCCAUCUUGACGGUACCUAAUCAGAAAGCCACGGCUAACUACGUG
Molecule: ribosomal RNA, 497 nt
Filed under: uncultured bacterium
Lineage: Bacteria
Description: partial 16S ribosomal RNA
Rfam family: Bacterial small subunit ribosomal RNA
Source: RNAcentral